Long non-coding RNA from Helianthus annuus (common sunflower), 673 nucleotides. RefSeq lists it as uncharacterized. The record is from RefSeq and is a predicted model, not a curated record. NCBI's taxonomy places the organism in Eukaryota, Viridiplantae, Streptophyta, Magnoliopsida, Asterales, Asteraceae. The transcript has 2 exons.
AUUAAUAAUAAAUAUGUAUGUAUUUACAUUUAACAAAAGAUAAACAUUCACUUUCCUGUUUCAUUUCAUCUCUGCAUCUAUCUAUACUCUGUAACAACUACCACCCCCACCAUCAGACACCAUCCACAACCAACCGAACAACCACCACCCCCUACCACCAUCUCCACCUGACAACUACCACCGCCAACAGCCCCACCAGACUACCACCACCACCUCCACCUGACCGCCACUAUCUUGCACCGCCCCCACACACUCCGACGGCCUCCCUAACUGCUCGAAAAUCUUUUAAAAGCAUAUCUAAAGCCAGAUUUCAACGAACUCCAGCGUCACCAUCAUCAUCUGAGUCUGUAAAUGCGUCGGAGCUAAAGUUCUUGGCUCGAAAACCUUGGCGCCCGUCACUGACUGAACUUAGGCAGGUGGCGGUUGCGUGGUGGCGGUGGUGGUCGCGUGGUGGUGGAGCGGUAGGUGGCGGUAGAUGAUGGUAGGUGAUUGUGAGGGCUGGUGGACAGGAUCGAGGUGUGUGAAAGAGAGAUGCAGAUGAAACAUGGAAGUGAAUGUUUAUCUUUUGUUAAAUGUAAAUAUAUACAUAUGAGGGGCACAUGACAAUAAUUUAACAUUACAAAUGGAUGCCGUUUGAGGCGGGGAGUGAAAUAGAGAUAAGCUUCAUAGAUCA